RNAcentral lists this ribosomal RNA (303 nucleotides) under uncultured bacterium. Its description in RNAcentral is "partial 16S ribosomal RNA". It matches the Rfam family "Bacterial small subunit ribosomal RNA", at positions 507 to 807 of the family's 1533-position model. The record is from RNAcentral.
AGCAGUCGCCACGGGAAUACGAGGGGGGCAAGCGUUGUUCGGAAUUAUUGGGCGUAAAGGGUGCGUAGGCGGUUUGACAAGUUCUAUGUGAAAUCUAUGGGCUCAACCCAUAGUCUGCAUGGAAAACUGUCAGGCUUGAGGAUGGGAGAGGUGAGUGGAAUUUCCGGUGUAGCGGUGAAAUGCGUAGAUAUCGGAAGGAACACCUGUGGCGAAAGCGGCUCACUGGACCAUUUCUGACGCUGAUGCACGAAAGCUAGGGGAGCAAACAGGAUUAGAUACCCCCGUAGUCCCUGUCUCUUAUAC